UACGUAGGGGGCAAGCGUUGUCCGGAAUCAUUGGGCGUAAAGAGCGUGUAGGCGGCCCGAUAAGUCCGCUGUGAAAGUCCAGGGCUCAACCCUGGAAUGCCGGUGGAUACUGUCGGGCUCGAGUACGGAAGAGGCGAGUGGAAUUCCUGGUGUAGCGGUGAAAUGCGCAGAUAUCAGGAGGAACACCAAUUGCGAAGGCAGCUCGCUGGGACGUUACUGACGCUGAGACGCGAAAGCGUGGGGAGCAAACAGG
RNAcentral lists this ribosomal RNA (253 nucleotides) under uncultured bacterium. RNAcentral describes it as "partial 16S ribosomal RNA". It matches the Rfam family "Bacterial small subunit ribosomal RNA", at positions 524 to 776 of the family's 1533-position model. The record is from RNAcentral.